UACGUAGGGGGCAAGCGUUGUCCGGAAUCAUUGGGCGUAAAGAGCGCGUAGGCGGCCCUGUAAGUCCGCUGUGAAAGUCAAGGGCUCAACCCUUGGAUGCCGGUGGAUACUGCAGGGCUAGAGUCCGGAAGAGGCGAGUGGAAUUCCUGGUGUAGCGGUGAAAUGCGCAGAUAUCAGGAAGAACACCUAUGGCGAAGGCAGCUCUCUGGGACGGUACUGACGCUGAGACGCGAAAGCGUGGGGAGCGAACAGG
This 253-nucleotide ribosomal RNA is filed under the name uncultured bacterium. RNAcentral describes it as "partial 16S ribosomal RNA". It matches the Rfam family "Bacterial small subunit ribosomal RNA", at positions 524 to 776 of the family's 1533-position model. The record is from RNAcentral.